This 412-nucleotide long non-coding RNA is filed under the name Vigna radiata. Its description in RNAcentral is "long non-coding RNA (VRAD_LNC015764)". The record is from RNAcentral. Lineage: Eukaryota; Viridiplantae; Streptophyta; Magnoliopsida; Fabales; Fabaceae.
UAGAGUAAUUCUGGGAUGGGUGACCUUCCGGGAAGUUUUCCCGGAAAGUGUGCGAGUAAGGACAAANCACACUGGAAAGUCUCGUGGUGAUGUGUGGGGGCAGUCAACAGUCCCUGUAAGUUGCCGGGGCAUUACAAAUGGUAUCAGAGCCUAGCCUCUCCCAGUACGGUGUGGUUCGAGGACGAACCAGACGGAAGCUGGUGGGCAUGUGACACCCGGGCACUGACGAGGGCGGGGAGUGAUCGUCGGUGCAAGAGGCAUGGUGCAGGGGGCACAGACAAGGAGCGGCUCCUGGCAGGCUUUGAGUGGAAGGGGCACAUGGACGAAUCGAUCAUACACCGGAAUGAGAGGGAUCUGGGGACUGUAUAGGUAUGGGACUAUACAAUUGAAGGAUAGCUUAAAGGAAUUGAUU